Molecule: ribosomal RNA, 439 nt
Filed under: uncultured bacterium
Lineage: Bacteria
Description: partial 16S ribosomal RNA
Rfam family: Bacterial small subunit ribosomal RNA
Source: RNAcentral
CUACGGGGCGCUGCAGUGGGGAAUAUUGCACAAUGGAGGAAACUCUGAUGCAGCGACGCCGCGUGAGUGAAGAAGUAUUUCGGUAUGUAAAGCUCUAUCAGCAGGGAAGAUAGUGACGGUACCUGACUAAGAAGCACCGGCUAAAUACGUGCCAGCAGCCGCGGUAAUACGUAUGGUGCAAGUGUUAUCCGGAUUUACUGGGUGUAAAGGGAGUGUAGGUGGCAUGGCAAGUCAGAAGUGAAAGCCCAGGGCUCAACCCUGGGACUGCUUUUGAAACUGCCGAGCUAGAGUGCAGGAGAGGUAAGUGGAAUUCCUAGUGUAGCGGUGAAAUGCGUAGAUAUUAGGAGGAACACCAGCGGCGAAGGCGGCUUACUGGACUGUAACUGACACUGAGGCUCGAAAGCGUGGGGAGCAAACAGGAUUAGAUACCCCCGUAGUC